UAGUGUUGUAGGCAUUUAUUAUAUUUCUUGUAACACAUCAUAAUCUCCAAAGGCCUAAAGAUUUACCCAUAUUUCAGAUAGAAAAAUUAUAAAAAUCUUUUGUUCAGUGACUCUGUAUGUGUGAUAAUAAUUAUUAACAAUGAAGAAAUGUGAGUUGUGCAGUUCCAUAGCAAGAGUUUAUUGUGAAUCAGAUCAAGCCAGUCUUUGUUGGGAUUGUGAUGCCAGAGUUCACACAGCCAAUUUCCUUGUAGCUAAACAUUCAAGGAUUCUACUCUGUAAUUCUUGUCAAUCACUUACCCCAUGGACUGGCUCUGGCUCUAAGCUUGGUCCCACUGUUUCUGUUUGCCAGAAAUGUUUUCACAGAAAUAAUAAUGAUGGCGCAGAUCAACAUCUUAAUGAUACGGAAGAAGAAGAUGAUGAUGAUGAGGCCGACGAAGACGAAGAUGAUGGAAGCAGUGAUGGUGAUAAUCAAGUUGUUCCUUUAUCUUCUUCAACUUCAGAUCAACCUAAUCCUCCCUCAUUGACUUCAAGCUCUUCUAGUAGUGAAGAUUCCACUAACAAAUUUAACAGAAGAAGUGUAAUUGGAUUUUCACCUAACAGAACAGAGGAAAAUACCCAAUCCCAUUAUUGUGGCAUUACAAGACCUGAAGAGAAGAUAGAAAGGAGUUCAUGGAGAUGGAGAUAAUCGGGAUAUUUACAGGUGAUGAGAAGAAAUUAAAUAAGAGGGGUAGCUCGAACGGGUGGAAGAUUUAGUGACAAGCUGACAGCUAACUAUAUUUUAUUAAGAUUAAGCAUAUACUCAAGGAUAAUGGGAUUGUAAUAUUUUAAUUAGCAUGCGAGACCUUAAUCAUGAUGCUUUUUAUUAAUCUAUAAUCUAUAGUUCGAUCUACACCAUUAAAGUAUAGUAUAAUAAUGAGAUUAAUUAACAGACUCGGGCCAAUUAGAAGCAAAGUUUUCUACAUGGCCACGUGCAUAACAGUAACACAAACCCUAUUAAUAAAAUUAAUUGCAAUUUGCAAUCAAAUACACGACACAUCGCCACAAGCCCGUAAACAAAGUAGUAAUUUAAUUGCAAUUUGUCAAGUUGUCUAAUGUUUAUAUUUGAUAUUUAAGUUUCACACAUGCGUACUUAUAAUAUAAAGAACUUUAUAAUGCAUGCAUGUUAAAUGAUGCAUCACUUAUAAUAAGGUUUAAAUUAUUAAUUCACACGUACCAUCAACAGUACAAUACAAAAUUACUCAUAAAAACAAAAAAAUUUAAAAGCUAAACAUAUAUACUAACUUGGUUAUAAGUGGUUAACACUCAAUAUAAUUAAGGAAUCUAGUCUAGAAAUAAAGGAAGUAACUUUAAUUUGUGUGGUGGUAACACAUUGCGUGAAGAAGAAAAUUGUAGUACACUAUUUUUUGAGAUAUGUGUGGACAUGGAGUCAUUAUAUUCAAAAUGGUAUCCACCAUAACCUUGUGAUAAAAUGAUAUUUUAUUUUUGUCCUUCAUCUAUAGCUUUUGGUAGGUCCUUUACAUUGAAAAUAUCUUCGGAUUCUGCUUCACCUGAAAGAUCUGAUUUGUGUGUUUCACAACCAUAAAGACAAUGAUUCCUCAAAAAAAAAAAUUCCCCUUUCCUUCCUUGAAUCAUAGCCACACAAUUAAGCCCUCUUGAUUUUUUUUUCUUUGCUUUUAACAAAAUGGGCUCAACUCCAAAGACUUAAUUCCUAACUAGAUGACGAUUGUUUAAAUUUGGCUUAAGUCAUCUGCAGCCACUCAAAGUUGUCCGCAUAAUUCAUUUAGACACCUAAACUAAUCCUUGUGCCAAUUGAAUACUUUAUUUGUUCAAAAGUCAUUCCUAUUAGACACAAAAUGCUGACAUGGCUAAAAACGUGUAAUUCACUUUCUUUGAGCGCGUGAAUUUAUUAAAAAUAAUAUUUUUCCUUUUUUUUCUUAAUUUAUCCCCUAAGUUAAUUUUAAAAAAAAAUAAUUAACAAAAAAGAAGAAGGAUAGUUGUCUUCUUCCCUCUUUCUAUCAUAUCAUUCUUUCACCAUUUUUAUCUCUUUUUUUUUACACAGAACACCACACUCCCUCCACCUCUCUUUCUCUCACCCUCAUUGUUCUUUCCUGCUUUCCUCUUUUUUCUUAUAUCGAUUUUCGUCUCAAAUAUCUCGAAGAAGUUUCAUUUACAAUGAUAAAAAAAAUAUGAAUAGAUUUUUUUGGGCAAAAAACUGUUAAUUUUUUUUCAAUUCUAAUAAAUAAUUUCUAAUGUAUAAAAGAUGAAGACAAUGAGUGAAAAUUUUAAUGUUAUCGAAAUGAAAGAGAAUGCAUAUUUAGCUUGAAUAGACAACAAUGGUGUGUCAUUGUAGCUCCAUUGAAGAGAAGAAAGAGAUGGAGCGACACCAACUCCAUGGAAAAUCAGAAAUGGGUUUCUGAAGAAGGAGGAAGAAAGUAGGGAGGGUGGAGGCUUUAAUUAAAAAUAUUUUUUUUUUAAUUUUUUAAAAUACUUUAUGAAUUAAUUAUAUAGAGGUUUUAAAAAAAUUAAAUGUAAUGCCACGUGUCAUCAUAUUAUUGGUAAAAUUAAUAAGAAUUCGCGUUUGAAAUACACGCGUUUUUGA
This is an RNA transcript of Solanum pennellii, 2599 nucleotides long. It is a transcript of the gene named putative zinc finger protein CONSTANS-LIKE 11, with no coding region annotated. The record is from RefSeq and is a predicted model, not a curated record. The transcript has 4 exons. NCBI's taxonomy places the organism in Eukaryota, Viridiplantae, Streptophyta, Magnoliopsida, Solanales, Solanaceae.